GACGAACGCUGGCGGUGUGCUUCACACAUGCAAGUCGAACGAGGUAGCAAUACCUAGUGGCGGACGGGUGAGUAACGCGUGGGAAUCUGCCUUUAGAUGGGGGAUAACGGGUCGAAAGACUCGCUAAUACCGCAUAUGACGAAAGUUGAAAGGAGUAAUCCGUCUAAAGAUGAGCCCGCGUCCGAUUAGCUAGUUGGUAGAGUAAAAGCCUACCAAGGCGACGAUCGGUAGCUGGUCUGAGAGGAUGAUCAGCCACAAUGGGACUGAGACACGGCCCAUACUCCUACGGGAGGCAGCAGUGGGAAUUUACGCAAUGGGCGAAAGCCUGACGUAGCGACACCGCGUGAGCGAAGAAGCCCCUUGGGGUGUAAGCUCUGUCAGCUGGAACGAAAAAAGUGACGGUACCAGCAGAGGAAGCAUCGGCUAACUACGUGCCAGCAGCCGCGGUAAAGUAGUCGUG
RNAcentral lists this ribosomal RNA (460 nucleotides) under uncultured bacterium. RNAcentral's name for it is "bacterial SSU rRNA". It matches the Rfam family "Bacterial small subunit ribosomal RNA", at positions 28 to 534 of the family's 1533-position model. The record is from RNAcentral.